RNAcentral lists this long non-coding RNA (738 nucleotides) under Triticum aestivum (bread wheat). RNAcentral's name for it is "long non-coding RNA (TAES_LNC015024)". The record is from RNAcentral. Lineage: Eukaryota; Viridiplantae; Streptophyta; Magnoliopsida; Poales; Poaceae.
UUCACAACUAAAAUUUCCUUAUAUGUUCAUAGGGAGUUAUGUUUGGGAUCCAAAUACCAAUUCAGAAUAGGGACCACUUUCCAGCUCAAAGCAUGGAAUCGAUUGGCUUUCAAACUUAAAUGAAAUUCUGCACAUAUUUUUGCUAUACAUAGAAUCUCAAACAUUAAGCCAGGAAAUACAGUCAAGCUCAAGUGGGGAUUAGUAACGCUGACUGGACUGCUUAAUCAUACUCCAAAUUUUAGCUUUGUUUGUCUCAGUGUUUCAGAGAGCCCUUUUAGGCCAAAACUCCAAAAGGUAUUGGAACAACACCACAAAAGGUUAAUAAAACAAAGUAUGAACCUUUUUAUACUUGUAGCACCAGAAAACAUGACUUGCAGCUCAUGGAUGGUGAACUUAGGAUAUUUGCAAAAUAUGUUGAGUGUUGUCAGCACAAACGAGCUCCCUCGGGACCCUUUGUCAUCCAUCGAAUAUUUACCAUACUGGAAUCGGAAUGGCCUUCUAGUUAUCAAGACUUUAUUUGUUCCAUUGAUGACACUGCUGUAAGGAAGGAAAUAGAGAAAACAUGGUAAACAAAUUCAGACAAUGAUAUCAAGAAAGAGAGAAAUUGUGAUUUUUCCCGCAUCCUUUGUAUUUUCCGGUGAACUAAAAUAAUAUUUGAACAUGUAUCUAAAAUAAACAGAAAGUUCUGAAGGAAAAAAGGAAGGCCGACCUGAACUUGCACCAUCAGUUUAAAUGGGC